CAGAACGAACGCUGGCGGCGCGCCUAAUACAUGCAAGUCGAGCGAGAAGGUGUAGCAAUACACCUGUAAAGCGGCGAACGGGUGAGGAAUGCAUGGGUAACCUACCCUCGAGUGGGGAAUAACUAGCCGAAAGGUUAGCUAAUACCGCAUACGUUUCCGGAACUUCGGUUUCGGAAAGAAAGCAAUACCGUGGGUAUUGCGCUCCUGGAUGGGCUCAUGUCCUAUCAGCUUGUUGGUGAGGUAACGGCUCACCAAGGCUUCGACGGGUAGCUGGUCUGAGAGGACGAUCAGCCACACUGGCACUGCGACACGGGCCAGACUCCUACGGGAGGCAGCAGUAAGGAAUAUUGCGCAAUGGACGAAAGUCUGACGCAGCGACGCCGCGUGGGGGAUGAAGGUCUUCGGAUUGUAAACCCCUUUCGGGAGGGAAGAUGGAGUGGGUAACCACUUGGACGGUACCUCCAGAAGCAGCCACGGCUAACUUUGUG
RNAcentral lists this ribosomal RNA (488 nucleotides) under uncultured bacterium. RNAcentral describes it as "bacterial SSU rRNA". It matches the Rfam family "Bacterial small subunit ribosomal RNA", at positions 25 to 507 of the family's 1533-position model. The record is from RNAcentral.